UACGAAGGGGGCUAGCGUUGCUCGGAAUCACUGGGCGUAAAGCGCACGUAGGCGGCUUCUUAAGUCAGGGGUGAAAUCCUGGAGCUCAACUCCAGAACUGCCUUCGAUACUGGGAAGCUCGAGUCCGGGAGAGGUGAGUGGAACUGCGAGUGUAGAGGUGAAAUUCGUAGAUAUUCGCAAGAACACCAGUGGCGAAGGCGGCUCACUGGCCCGGUACUGACGCUGAGGUGCGAAAGCGUGGGGAGCAAACAGG
RNAcentral lists this ribosomal RNA (253 nucleotides) under uncultured bacterium. RNAcentral's name for it is "partial 16S ribosomal RNA". It matches the Rfam family "Bacterial small subunit ribosomal RNA", at positions 524 to 776 of the family's 1533-position model. The record is from RNAcentral.